AGUCAACAUGCCCAGGGGACGUGGAUAACCUCGGGAAACUGAGGAUAAACCGCGAUAGGUCAUCACUUCUGGAAUGGGUAAUGACUUAAAUCUAUAUGGCCCCUGGAUUGGACUGCGGCCGAUCAGGCUGUUGGUGAGGUAAUGGCCCACCAAACCUGUAACCGGUACGGGCUCUGAGAGGAGGAGCCCGGAGAUGGGCACUGAGACAAGGGCCCAGGCCCUAUGGGGCGCAGCAGGCGCGAAACCUCUGCAAUAGGCGAAAGCUUGACAGGGUUACUCUGAGUGAUUUCCGUUAAGGAGAUCUUUUGGCACCUCUAAAAAUGGUGCAGAAUAAGGGGUGGGCAAGUCUGGUGUCAGCCGCCGCGGUAAUACCAGCACCCCGAGUGGUCGGGACGUUUAUUGGGCCUAAAGCAUCCGUAGCCGGUUCUACAAGUCUUCCGUUAAAUCCACCUGCUUAACAGAUGGGCUGCGGAAGAUACUAUAGAGCUAGGAGGCGGGAGAGGCAAGCGGUACUCGAUGGGUAGGGGUAAAAUCCGUUGAUCCAUUGAAGACCACCAGUGGCGAAGGCGGCUUGCCAGAACGCGCUCGACGGUGAGGGAUGAAAGCUGGGGGAGCAGACCGGAUUAGAUACCCGGGUAGUCCCAGCUGUAAACGAUGCAGACUCGGUGAUGAGUUGGC
RNAcentral lists this ribosomal RNA (678 nucleotides) under uncultured crenarchaeote. Its description in RNAcentral is "bacterial SSU rRNA". It matches the Rfam family "Archaeal small subunit ribosomal RNA", at positions 102 to 783 of the family's 1478-position model. Lineage: Archaea; Thermoproteati; Thermoproteota. The record is from RNAcentral.